GGCUCGCAGGCGGUUUCUUAAGUCUGAUGUGAAAGCCCCCGGCUCAACCGGGGAGGGUCAUUGGAAACUGGGAAACUUGAGUGCAGAAGAGGAGAGUGGAAUUCCACGUGUAGCGGUGAAAUGCGUAGAGAUGUGGAGGAACACCGGUGGCGAAGGCGACUCUCUGGUCUGUAACUGACGCUGAGGAGCGAGAGCGUGGGGAGCGAACACGAUUAGA
Molecule: ribosomal RNA, 217 nt
Filed under: Bacillus pumilus
Lineage: Bacteria; Bacillati; Bacillota; Bacilli; Caryophanales; Bacillaceae
Description: partial 16S ribosomal RNA
Rfam family: Bacterial small subunit ribosomal RNA
Source: RNAcentral